This 5152-nucleotide long non-coding RNA is filed under the name Canis lupus familiaris (dog). Its description in RNAcentral is "lncRNA (ENSCAFG00000056776.1)". The record is from RNAcentral. Lineage: Eukaryota; Metazoa; Chordata; Mammalia; Carnivora; Canidae.
GAGUGAAAUAACAAUAAACAGGUAGUUUACUUAUUUCUAACAAAGUAUUUACUAAUUUAUAUUUUUAAAGAUUUUAUUUACUUGAGAGAAAGAGAGUGAGAGAGAGUGCAUAGGCACACAAACAGCAGGAGGGAGGGGUAGAGAGAGAAGCAGACUCCCUGCUGAGAAGGGAGCUGGAUGAGGGACUCCAUCCCAGGAUCCUGAUAUCAUGGCCUGAGCUGAAGGCAGAAGCUUAACUGAAUGAGCCACCCAGGUGCCCUACUAAUCCAUCUUUAACUUUAUGCAAUAUAGUUACCAUGCAGUGAAAUUUGCAAACAUAAAUGAAUGUUCUUUCAAAAGUAACAAUAAUUAUUAUGAAAGGGUAAAAAGGUACAGUUUGACUCAGCUCUUCUUUGCUCAAAAAUUAGAGGCAUAAUAAAUAGUACAAGCCUCCCUAGAUGUCUCAAAAUAUCAAAUACUGUCUUCAUCAUUCUCAGUCAUCCGUAUUAUAUAGCAAGAUCAGUUCAUCUUAUUAUGAUACAUGUAAUGCUCUUGAGUAAGACUGUCUUAUUUUCACUUAUUAGUAAAAGUGAGCAAGAAAUGUUUUAUUUCUGCAAGAAUUAAUAUUGUUUAGCUUUUAUAUUAUGGUUUUGAAAUCACUAGUUUGCUAAUAUGUUGAUUUAGGUGUUCCAUGGUUCAGAGAAAUAAUUGUACCAAAAAGGAAAAAAGAAAAAAGGAGAAAAAAAAAGAAAAAGAAAAAAAAAACCCACUUGCAUUGAAUUAUGUCAUGUCACUUCUUGAGAAAUAAGAUUCUGAUUUUAUAAGUGUGUACAAGAAUAAAAACCACAAUCUUUCCAAAAUUCCUAUAGAUAAAUUAUUUUGAUGGGCAAACACAUUUAAAGGCCCAUUUUGCUUGAUUAGUUUUCUCCAGUCACAUGAGGUAAAACUCUUCUCAGAAAGUCUACUGAACAGAGAAUACAAAAUCAAUGGCAGUGACAAAACAUCUCAAAACUUCAAAUCACCAUCUCAUUUAAACAAACUAGUAUUUGUAUUAGUGUUUAACUCAACAUAAACUAUAUUGAAUGUAAAACUGCAGCAAUACAGGCUAAUCUAGAUACUGCAAAGCCAAAGCAGCUGAAUUUAAAGUUAGUGAUGAUAGGCAAAAUCUAAUGAUGAACCUGUGAAGGAAGAAGGGGUGAUGAGGAUUUUUUUAUUACGUGUUUGAAUUUUAAGCUUUAUAAAAAAUUCUUUUUUAUGCCUCUAGACUCAUUGUUCAAAUCUACUUUAACCUUUCUCCAUUUGCUGGAUAAGAGAAAGGCUGUUUACUACCUUCUAGAGAUAUUUCCAAUACUAUAUGGUAAUACAAUGCACCAGAAAGGAUCCAAAAGACUCUAUAUUCAUAAAAAUUGUACAAAAAUCAGUUUCUAUGUAUUGCUGGUAGUUAUCAAUUAUGACAUGGUUCCGGCAUCUACCUAACAUUUUUUUGACAAUAAUUUUUGGUUCCUUUAUUCAUUUGUUUCAGCAUUCAUUCACUAUUAGCUGAGCCCUGUUUCUGUGCUCUACACUGUUUCAGACACCGUUAACAGAGCAGUGUGCAACAGACAAAAUCCCUUAAGAAGUUAGCUGGAAAACCUGACUCUGAAGAAGUAAUUAAAAAUAUGUUUAGUAUAAAUUGUCACUGAGAAAUGCCAAAUGCUUUGGGAUGAUUUGACAUGGGAGUCUAACCCAGAAAGGCAGUUCAGGAACUACUUUGAGAAAAUGAUAUUUAAGUUGAGAUUUGAAUAAAAUGUGGAAGUUAGCAGGACUAAGGAGAAUGCAAGGAAGAGGAGCACCCUUAGGAUAAGAGGGAACAGCAUGUGCAAGAUCUAGGAUGUAAAAGAGGAACUCAAAAAAGGUUAAUGUAGAUGUGGAGAGAAUACUCUAUGUUUUGAAGCUCAGAAGACUGGUAGAAGUCAGAGCACGUGUGUAGGGUGCUUCAAGCUAUGUUAAUGAUUUUAAAUUUUAUCUGAAAUAUAGAGAAUAUCAUCAAAGGGAGUAAGAGUUAAAUGAUCACAUUUGUAUAUUUAAAGAAUCACUGACGGAGUCUCUGUGUUGAAGGGGAUCACACCCAGAUGUGCAGAGAACUACUAGAAGACAGUUUAGCUGAGAGAUGUGGUAGGUUGGGGAAAAGAGAAGCAAAGCAGUUUGAGAGCUACUAGGAGAUACGAUGAACAAAACUUGUUAACUGUGAGAAAAGAUGACCCCAUAUCUCUUUGUGGUGGUACCAUAUAUCACAGAGACACUUAUGACUGAAAAUAGUGUUGGUUGAUACACUUCCAAUAGUUGAAUGUGUGUGUGAGCAUGUCAUUUGUGCAUUUUAGAAUCAAAAUGUGCAAUCUAACUAGACUUAUUGAAAACUCAGCAAAAUCCAAAGUGUGAAUGAGCAAUUAGAUUGAGCAAAUAAAUAAAUAUAUUGUAGAUAUCAAGAAUCAAGUUUCUUCAAGAGCCUGGGUGGCUCAGUUGGUUAAGUGGCUGCCUUUGGAGCUUAGGUCAUGAUCCUAGCCUCAUGAGAUUGAGCCCUGCUUUGGGCUCUGUGCUGGGUGUGGAGCCUGCUUAAGAUUCUCUCUUAAGAGAAAUCUGUGCCUCUGUCCUUCCUACCCCUAAAAAAAUUUUUUUAUAUAUAAAUUUCGUCCUUAAAACUAUUUCAUUUUAACCUAACUUAAAAUAAUCAAAGAAGGAAAAGUGAUUAAUAUCAUGUUUGCUUUAGUUUAUUUUUAACUAUUGGGGAUAAAUACUGAAAUACUGAAAGAAAAGGAGUUAGGAUGAAAAGAAGGAAACCAUUUAAAAUCUUCAAAUAUUUGGAUAAUACUGUGAAUUUUCAGUUGUUAACCUCCAUUUAACAUGUGGAUAAACUGAAGCCUACAAGUUUAAUGGUCCCACCAGGGUCAUAUAGUUAACAUACUGGAAUGACUUUUGAAUCUAGGUCUGUUAGGCUCCAAAUUUUCCCACGAUACUGUAAUGAAUAAAGGAAUAAAGUGUGCUCAAUUUCUGAAGAUUCAUUAUUCCCUUAAAAAAAUCUUUUUGCCUAUUUGGUAAUCUGGCUUUUUCAGAGUUCAAAACAGUCCCUUCCUUAUAUUAAGUUUUUAGCUAAAAUAUAAAGUAUUUGUAAGCUUGUUUUGGAUAAGUGAGGAAAAAUAAUUUGCAUCUACAUAUUCUUUUCUUUUCAUUAAGCAACUGCAAAUGCCAACUAUGCUUCUGAAACAUAAAUAUGAAAUCUAAACAGCUGAUGGUUAUAAAAAUAAUUACAGGUUGCCAUUAGGAAGCAUACAAUCACACUUAAUUCUCCUUAGAACAAACAUAUUUUACACUAAAAUAUAUGUUUUAAAAUGUUAAAAACAGUAAAAAGAAGUCAUGAAUAACAGUACUUUGAGAGAAGUAUCUUCUAUCCAGGUAAUGCACUUUCCCCCCUUCUAUUUUCCAAUUUCCUCCAUUUUUUCCAGUAUGCUCCCUUUUACUAAUCCCGGCAUCAACACCAGAGGGAGAGCUUUAUUUAGUUUCUUUGGAAAGCCUUCUUGCUAUACAAGUGAGUAGGUUAAUAUCUUAGUCCAUAAAAAUGAUGAGUGUUUCUUUUGAAAUACAGACCAUAGUUCCAAAGAGUAUAACAGAGUCAAAGGCCCUGCAUCACAGAUGCAGACAGGAGUCUUGCUGAUAGCCUAAAAUUCCAUUUUCUAUCCUAGAAAUAAAAUAAAUUAAUUAAAUAUUGGAGGUAGGCUAAAAACAUAGACACCAGACUGGGAAGCCACAAAUUAUCUUAUUGGUGGUAAUGUUAGUUGCAGUAAUAAUGGUGAAAUUUUAUAGAGUACCUCCUGUGCCAGAUACUAUUUUAAGAGACUAACAUGAAUGCACUCAUUUAAUACUUAUAAUCCUAGGUCCUGAUAACCUUACGGACGAGGAAACUGAGGUAUAAUUUACUCAAAGUCACACUGUUGAGAUUCUACUUGUAGGGCAUAAAAGUCCCACUGUGGAUUUAUGAACCCUGGUAGUUUAUGAUAUACAUAAUUUUCUAACUGUAUCCUUUAGCUUAAAUCUAAAGAACCACAAACUAAACAUUGAAGCAUAGGUAAACUGAUCCAGUUUAUCACCUAAACCUUAAGGUGAACACUGUGAAAAGGAAUUAAAGAUCAUUACUGUUACUGGGCUGAAGGAAGAGUGUGUAUGCUUUCGGUAGCAUUAGCUUAGUGGUCUAAAAUGAAAAAAAUAUUAAGAAAUUAUUCUGUAUUGGGUUUUUAACUCUGGUUUUUAUGUUACAACUCUACAUAUUAGUGUGUGAAUGCAUAUAUACACAAUAAACAUUUCCUUAUUUUCAAAAUAUCUUAAGAUAAUUAAGGUAUUAGCAUUCCUAUCAAUGAAACAUAUUAAAUAAUAUGAGAAUAUGCUUAUGACAGUGUUAAAUGAAAAGCAAGUGUCAAGACUGAAUAUUCAAUAUAUUCCAAUUUUUCAAAAAUAUCUUCUAAAGUGAACAUAUAUAUUACUUAAGGAAACUUUUGUGAAAUAUGGCAUGCAGAAAACUGUGUACAAUCCUAAGUAUAGUUUGAAGAAUUCUCCUAAAGUAAAUACACCUAUUUAACCAAUAUCUAGAUUUAAAGGAAGAACACUGCCAGCAUAGUCUCAUGUUCCCUUUAAGGCUAUGCCUCCCAAUUCCUCUACAUAGCCACUAUCUGGACUUCUAACAAUCAAUGAUGAGUUUUGACUAUUUUGAGAUUGUAUAUAAAUGGAAUUAUAUGGUAUGUACUCUUUUGUAUAUGACUUGUUUUUGUUCAAUGUUGUGAGAUUCAUCCAUGUUUAUGCAAAUGACGUUUACUCAUUUUUAUUGCCGAGUAUUAUCCUAUUGUGUGUGCAUGUUUCAUAAUUUAUCCACUCUGUAGUUAGGGACACUUGAGUAGUUUCUAGUUUGGACUUACAACAUGUAUUAACGUAAAAAUGGAUUUGAGGGGUGCCUGGGUGGCUCAGUCAGUUAAGCAUCGGACUCUUGAUUUCGGCUCAGGUCAUGAUCUUGGAGUCCUGGGAUUGAGCCCCACAUUGGGCUUCAUGCUCAGUGGGGAGUCUAUUGAGAUUCUUUGCUCCUUCUGCAGUGCUCUGUGUACUCUGUGUCUCUCUAAAAUAAACAAAUAUUUUAAAAAAUGGACUUGAAAAC